Molecule: ribosomal RNA, 468 nt
Filed under: uncultured bacterium
Lineage: Bacteria
Description: partial 16S ribosomal RNA
Rfam family: Bacterial small subunit ribosomal RNA
Source: RNAcentral
GACGAACGCUGGCGGCGUGCUUAACACAUGCAAGUCGAACGGAAAGGCCCUGCUUUUGUGGGGUGCUCGAGUGGCGAACGGGUGAGUAACACGUGAGUAACCUGCCCUUGACUUUGGGAUAACUUCAGGAAACUGGGGCUAAUACCGGAUAGGAGCUCCUGCUGCAUGGUGGGGGUUGGAAAGUUUCGGCGGUUGGGGAUGGACUCGCGGCUUAUCAGCUUGUUGGUGGGGGAGUGGCUUACCAAGGCUUUGACGGGUAGCCGGCCUGAGAGGGUGACCGGCCACAUUGGGCCUGAGAUACGGACCAGACUCCUACGGGAGGCAGCAGUGGGGAAUAUUGCACAAUGGGCGGAAGCCUGAUGCAGCAACGCCGCGUUCGGGAUGACGGCCUUCGGGUUGUAAACCGCUUUCGCCUGUGACGAAGCGUGAGUGACGGUAAUGGGUAAAGAAGCACCGGCUAACUACGUG